Molecule: long non-coding RNA, 688 nt
Organism: Limulus polyphemus (Atlantic horseshoe crab)
Lineage: Eukaryota; Metazoa; Arthropoda; Merostomata; Xiphosura; Limulidae
Exons: 3
Source: RefSeq, a predicted model, not a curated record
UAUUAGUAUUGUAGAUUUCUGAAAGUUAUUUAAUAUUAUUAUUAUUAUGAUUUGUAGUAAUUUGGGUUAAAUAACACAAUAAUAACUGGAUACAAUAAGAUUGCUAAAUAAAAAUGAGGAACUAUUGGAGGGAAGGAAAACAAAAGUCGGAGAAGGAUGUGGAUGAUAAGGUUAUAGGUGAUUCCUUGACAAGGCAUGUGGAGAUAAUAGUCUGCACGGUAAAUAGGGAGAAAAGAAUCCGAUUAUGCUACCCAGGUGGAGGAUGUAAAUGACAGAGCAGAAGUUUAGAGGAUGGAACAGCUGAGAUGAGCCAAUAGGUCCCAUGUUGUCCAAAAAGAUUGUUAUAUUCAGUGCUGUGCAUUCAGCAUAGGUUAAAUGAGUUUAAAUUUGAAUAUCCUUUGCUGGCUAAUUACGAUGUCAACUGAAACUGAUGUGACAUUGCUGUGAAGGAACAGAGAUCACAAGGUGAUGCUUUCCACAAGACAAAGAAAGAAAAUUAAAGUUUAGAAUGCAGAAAUAUUCUUUAUCCAGUUCUCUCCUAGUUCAUCUACAGUAACGACUUAUUUAGUAUUGCAGUAUUCAGUAGAGGGCAAGAAAACUAACUAGUGGACGGAGCAAUGGCUGUCAUCUGUGGGUACAAGAACUAAGUUUUAUUGUUUGAAUAAAGAUUCUGCUUGCUUGUUCAAAA